CUGCUAAAGCAAAGGGACGCCCGUUCAAAAGGGAAGCUAACAAAAUUAAAGGAUAUGAUUGGCUCCUUGACUCUCCAAGAGAGAUGAGACAAUGUUUUUGAUGAUCCCACGGAAGCCACUACUGCCGUAAAGGAAGCUAUUGGAGUGGCAACCACUUCCAUAGUACAUACCUACUCAAUUAUCAAUCGAAAAUUCUCUUGCUGACACUACACAAUAUAUCAAUAUAUCAUUGAAAAUUAUCAAUGUUCUCCUUUACUCAUAAACCAAACCUAGUCCUUGAUCUGCCUUUACUUUGUUGUCACUUGUCAUUCUCAUAUAUAUGAUGCAAUGUAACUGAAGCCCAUUUUGUAACACAUGGGCCUAAGAAGACCGGAGGCAUCGUUUUAAUGUGACUGUGCUAACUUGAAGACAUCGGUACUGCUUCAAUUAUAAGCUGUAACCAACGAUCUCAGGAAUC
Papaver somniferum (opium poppy) is the source of this 457-nucleotide long non-coding RNA. RefSeq lists it as uncharacterized. Lineage: Eukaryota; Viridiplantae; Streptophyta; Magnoliopsida; Ranunculales; Papaveraceae. The record is from RefSeq and is a predicted model, not a curated record. The transcript is spliced from 4 exons.